AUGGGUAAAGACCUGAGCUCAGGUACUCAUGUUUUGUGCAUAAUGGAGGUUUUACAGCAGAAGAGGCUGUUCUAUUACCUUGGUUCCACCACCAUUUUCAAGAUGAGAGUGCCCAGCUUGAUGAAGACUCAAGUAGCACAUAGUGAAGUCAAGACCAGGCCAGGAUAACAAAGGGAGCCGCUGAAGUCUGUUCUGGAGGCACCAUGACAAAGCACCAGACAGAAAGCAGUCACGUGUGGGGAGAUGAGCAGACACCACUUCGCGGGCACCUGAUUAUUCUUUUCUCGGUGUUUAGAAGCAAAAAUUACCCUACGGAAAACAGUUGCAGAUGCAAAACCACAAAGGUACAGUGUUAUAAAUGGCACAGUGUAUGCAGAUAA
Molecule: long non-coding RNA, 380 nt
Filed under: Mus pahari (shrew mouse)
Lineage: Eukaryota; Metazoa; Chordata; Mammalia; Rodentia; Muridae
Description: lncRNA (MGP_PahariEiJ_G0004433.1)
Source: RNAcentral